This 654-nucleotide long non-coding RNA is filed under the name Marmota marmota marmota (Alpine marmot). RNAcentral describes it as "lncRNA (ENSMMMG00000008931.1)". The record is from RNAcentral. Lineage: Eukaryota; Metazoa; Chordata; Mammalia; Rodentia; Sciuridae.
AUGGUGAGUUGUCCCUGCUGGCCUCCUCCAGCAGGCCCGCUAGUGGCCCUCACCCCUGCCGUCACCCCCACCCUGGCUUAGGCCUCCCUCCUGCUCAGGGUUCCCCUGAAGGUCUGUGCAAGACAAAUCCUGGCCCCAGAACGGAGACAGAGGGAUGUCAGGGCGCCCACACGCGGGCCUGGUCCUGACCCCCAUCUGCCCUCUCCUCAGGUGCUGCUGGCCUUGGAGGUGUCCUAGGAGCCACCAGGCCAUUCCCAGGUGGAGGUGGAGGCGCCGGGGGCCUGGGAGUCGGCGGAAAGCCCCCCAAGGCCUAUGGAGGGGCCCUGGGAGCCCUGGGAUACCAAGGUGGGGCCUGCCUGGGGAAAUCCUGUGGCCGGAAGAGAAAGUGAGCUUCCCAGGACCCCUGACUCGCGACCUCAUCAACGUUGGUGCUACUGCUUGGUGGAGAAUGUAAACCCUCUGUGAUCCCACCCCAAGCCCCACUCAAUGCCCACCCGGGAGGGGACGGUAGGCCGGCGGCCUUGGAAAUCCACAGAACAAGGAAUCAAGAGCAGUGGCCACGUGCCCCGACUGGGAGGCCACCGGCUCCAGAGGCCAGGGCCGGUGGGCUCAGCCCCGGCCCCACCCCUCCUCCUGGGAGCUCCCCCCACACAG